GAAUCACACCUGCCUAGUCCCUCCCCGUGACGGAGGGAGCGGGGGAACCACCGGGUCAGGGAUGGACCCAGGGGCGAAUCGGAAGUGGACUCCGUAGCGCAGCUCUUUCGGCGCGAGCCCGUCAGCUAACCCCGUCGGCCUGAGAAGGAGAAUCU
RNAcentral lists this small RNA (155 nucleotides) under Actinomycetota bacterium. Its description in RNAcentral is "Actinobacteria bacterium c-di-AMP sequence". It matches the Rfam family "c-di-AMP riboswitch aptamer (ydaO/yuaA leader)". From Rfam's summary of the family: This family represents a conserved RNA structure found upstream of the ydaO and yuaA genes in Bacillus subtilis and related genes in other bacteria. The record is from RNAcentral. Lineage: Bacteria; Bacillati; Actinomycetota.